This is a non-coding RNA of Pelobates cultripes (western spadefoot toad), 721 nucleotides long. The record is from the annotation of a GenBank genome assembly. Lineage: Eukaryota; Metazoa; Chordata; Amphibia; Anura; Pelobatidae.
AUUUGCCCUCUCUUGUACUGAAAGGGUGAAGAGAGUGGCAAUGGGUGGAUUUGCCCUCUCUUGUAUUGAAAGGGUUAAGAGGCAGCAAUGGGUGGAUUUGCUCUCUCUUGGACUUGCACCACAAGGGUUGAAUGGCCUGCGUGGGGCAAGCAGAGCCAGUUGGCGAGUUACGUGGGUAAUAAUCAGCCUGCUGUGUAAUAAGUGAGGUGGAAUAAGAGGAGGAUUUAUUUGUCUUGCUUGGAUCUGCCAUUGUCUGUCUCUGCAGAGCUUGCUGAGCUGUGCGCGGAGCAGCCUGCCUCCUGUAAUCGAAUUAUCGCCCCCUGCACGGGGCUAAGGGCUGACGCUAAUUGAAUUGCUCUCGUCACAGGCUGCUGUUUCCCCCCUCUGGAUCCUGCAGAUUUUAUUGUUUCUGGGGCGGACGGAGCUGCCCCAUUUAUUUGAUCUGUCACAGGCAGGCCCUCUGCCCUACCAUGUUUGCUUUAAGGCACACCACUUCUUCCUGCGACGCAAUUAAAAACAAAUAAAACAAUCUGGGACCUGCGAUUAUUAAUUUAUAGAUUCUGUGCAGACAAACGCAUUCCAUUGUGGAAAACCUUGGAAUCGUAGAUAGCGGUAUGGAACCACAUGCAUUGAUUGUUACACUGUGUACACGCUUACCAUGUAUUAUGUAUUGUAAGUCCACUCAGCGAAGAAUUAGUGCGCACUCUUUAUUGACUUUAUC